This 214-nucleotide unclassified non-coding RNA is filed under the name Curvularia eragrostidis. Its description in RNAcentral is "partial contains 5.8S rRNA, ITS2 and 28S rRNA". Lineage: Eukaryota; Fungi; Ascomycota; Dothideomycetes; Pleosporales; Pleosporaceae. The record is from RNAcentral.
UUCCAAAGGGCAUGCCUGUUCGAGCGUCAUUUGUACCCUCAAGCUUUGCUUGGUGUUGGGCGUUUUGUCUUUGGCUUUUGCCCCAAAGACUCGCCUUAAAACGAUUGGCAGCCGGCCUACUGGUUUCGGAGCGCAGCACAUUUUUGCGCUUGCAACCAGCUAAAGAGGCCAGCAAUCCAUCAAGACCUUCUUCUCACUUUUGACCUCGGAUCAG